GAUUUCCAUGUUGUUCUGUAUGCAGAUUCUAUGCCAGGUCGGCCUUGCCGUAUCCACCUCGUGGAUACGGCCUUACGUCACUUCGCCUUCCCGAGUCGAGGUCUCAUCACACUAAAUGCGAAUUAAGGAUACGGUUUUUUUGACAACCCUUUCAAUGAGCACCAACUUUGAUGAUAAGGUUUGAUUAUUAUCUAGUAUAUCAGCUAGUGUAAUAGCAAUAUGUGGGCAUAAGUGUUUAUUGGAGUUUAGAUAUUAUAUGUAUGGAUCACUUUAAACAUCUGUACGGUCUAGGAAUUUAAUUUCAGUACCAUUUCGUACCGUGUCACUGUUUCAAAGUACGAAAUGGCAUUGAAAUUAUAUUAUUUGAUUGUACAAUAUAAACGUCUGUCGAAUAUCACGGGAAGUCUCAGUUGUUGUUUAAGCUCGAGUCAUCCACGAUUACGCGCAGAUUUGCCAAAUCUAACCUUUAAUAAUACGAGUCAAGGCACGCGUGGUCGUGAAUGACACGAUAUGUAGCGGUGCCCCCAUACCUUUACUUCUGAUGUUUUUUAACCUAUUCGCCGCCAUUGACUUGGUAUAUAGUCAGUACAUUUAGUGGCUCACACGUCACUUGAUAUGUUACUUGGAGACGACUUAUCUGUAAUUUUCGGUACAACACCGUCUGCCGAUUUUUGCGGGGGACGGGCACAUCAAAUGUAUGCCAUGUCUGAUAAACGCCAGUCCAUACAAUACCUAUGGCCAUUAAAGCUCUUAAAGGCGAUUCUGGUUGUUAAAUCCACUUAGGUUAUACGGGUUGACUACGUGCAAUUUAUGACAUGGCGUUGAUUAUUACUUCAACUUUGCGAUAUUGUUAAAACGGCGAGUAAAAUUGCUAUUAAAAUGUAUUUUAUAUACAGGGCCCGUACUUUUCAUGCCGUUGACGCAAAAAUGACGUAAUUUAACAUACAGGGAGUUUUUUUUACAAUAUGUACUACAAAUUUAGAUUACUUAUUGACGGGUAUCAAAAUUAAAACUUGUUACGUGAGUAAAAGCUUGUUAGGCUGAUAAAAAUCAAAAAUAUGUAUUAUUUAAUAAAUUAAUAAUCUAUUAUUUAUUUGAGUGACAAUAAGAUGAAAGUCAGACGUUUCUGUACUGAUUGUCAAGUAUAUGUAUCAGUUACCUAAAUAGGUUGACAAAUGAUUAAUUAUUACGAAAAUACUAAUUGGAAUCAUACUCUAUGUAGCUUGACGUAAUUUUUCUGUCAACGGCAUGAAAUGUACGGGCCCUGCUUAUAUAUUUUGAUGUAAUUUCCAGUUGCUAAGCUUAUGAAGCGGAACUCAUAUGCCAAACUAUUUAAGCUUUUGAACGCCAUCUGUCAACAAGAACGACACGCAAGAGCCAAUAUCCCUGGCAUGAGCUAGCAACAAACCGUAUUGACAACGUUCUUGCGUUCGUUAUAAGCGUUCUUGGCGCCUUCUUACGACGCCUUUGAGGGUUCUGGGCGUUCAAAGGGUUAAUAAUGUUUAUUACAGUAUUUUGCACUUAUCAAAAGAGGCUUAAACUUAUUGAAACGUAGAUUCCAGUUUUGUCGGAUCCUGAUCUUUAUUUCACAUUCUUAGUAAUUAUUAUAAUAAUGAGGUAUGAAAUGGGGGUACCGAUAUUAGUGUUAGUAGAUUUGUUACAUUUAAAGUGGUAGUGUGGAGUUGACUUGACGUCUUUUUAUUAUGGCAAGCCGUUAGAAAAUAAAAAUAGUUUAAGGUGGUUCGAUUUCCAUACAAAACACGAUUGCGUUUUAUGAAGUCAUUAUACACUAUUACUACAUAAAUAUGUGCGCAUCUAUCUACUUUCAAAUAUUAGUUUGCGCUAAAUUGAUAGAAAAAGUAUGUUUCAUACAGAAACUACGCAAAAAACGUUAUUUUGGUGUUACUUUGAUAGAAAAAUAUAACGUUUAUUGCAUGAUUUCUGUAUGAAACAUAGUUUUUCUAUCAAUUUAGUGCAAACUAAUAGUCGAAAGUAGAUAGAUGCGCACAUAUUUAUGUAGUAAUAGUGUAUAAUGACUUCAUAAAACGCAAUUGUUUUUUGUAUGGAAAUCGAACCACCUUAAUAUCUGAGUAUUUUUAUAUUUCGUCAUAGUUCUGUCGUCUGACUUCGUCGUAUGACUUAUUGAAAUAAGUCUGUCAGCGUUCAAGCGAUUUUUUCAUUUUUGUUCAUUUCCAUUGUUUAACGAAUACCAUAAUUUGACAUUGAAUUUCCAUUGCGUGGCAAAUAAUAUUUGUGUUUUUCUUCCUUAAUAAAGUAGCGACGCUGUCCAUGUAAAUUUUCGUACAUUGCCCCGCCUGGUGUUAUUUCUAUUGCAUGCGCAUAAUUAUAUUGCUGUCAAGGUCGCACAGUGACAUUGACAACCGAUAACAUGAGCGGGACAGCAGUAUAAUCAUGCGCGUGCAAUAGAGAUAGCAAUAGCCGAGUCAAUGUACGAAAAUCUAUCUGGAAAGACGCUUUAGUGACAAGUAACCUCCAUACGACCACACUAUCCUCGUGCCGCCCAUCAUACAAAAAUAUUGCCGGGGAAGUUUGAAUCUAGCUGUGUUUUUAAUACGGUUGAAUUUAUUUUAUCGAAAAUUUUAUGACUCAAAAAAUAUGCUACUUUGUUUAUACAAGGUAUUCCACGUAUUCCUGCAUAAGAAGGAAAAAAAAUCUUAUACAAAUUUCAGUCCAUUCCAAUUUUUUUUUUACUUUUUGUAUUUUUUUAAACAUAUUAAGUACAUGUUCUUGGAAAAUUUAUGGAUUUAUAUGAUACAUUUUUAGUGUUCCGUACAAAACUUUGUUCACAAAACACUGGUUUUGCAAAUCGGUUAUAUGCGAUUUUUUUUCGUAAAAACUAGUCUAUUCAAAGUGUUCCUUGUCACUUUGCUAUCUGUCAAUAAGGACGUCUAGACUAGAUCCCAUAGUGGGGACAUCGCCAUCAAAAAGGCGUUUUGCAUGGAAACACAAUAAAACCCGUUUUUUUUCAAUGGUAUUAACUCUGAAAGCAUGCGAAUUAAAUAAAAGAAUAUAUGACAUCUUUGUCUCUAAAUACGAUUCGGAAUAUACUGCUAAAGACUUUCCGUUUCCUCGCGGGCAAUUCCUUUAAAAAAGAGUGUACAUCGUAUAACUGGGCGGCACGAGUCUGUAUAUAAAUUGUUAGUGCGCCUUUAGACCGCUAGAUUGCGCAAUGUAAGAUAUUAGAUACUAUAUAUGUAAAUAUGCCUAGGGCUCCUGAAAACGCGGGAAGUGCAAUCCAGCUUUGUUAGUUACAGCCAAAUUAGUGCCAAAACUUAUAAUAGUAUUUAAUUCUGUUAUGUUAGUUUUUCCUGUUACUUUAUGUUAAUAAAUCUUAUCUUAUCUUACUAAACUUUCUACUACGCCUUUACUGUUAUAUCUUCUUAAUGUUGUGGAAACAUUCCUAUUUUUCAUAUAAAAAAAAACAUAAUGAAGAGUUUUACAGUUCUCGAAUUUAACGGCGUUCAUUGUGACGAAUAAAUACUGCCCAUAUUAUAGUCUGUUCUUUUAUUCCGUUGACUAAAAUGACAACCACAAAUGUCAAACGCAGAAAUAAUGUGACCAGCUUAAAACAAACAGUGCUGAUCUUUGAUUUCGGUUUGUGAAUAACCGAUAAAUAUUAAAUUAAUUUUAGAUCCAAAAUAAACAAUUAAUGAAAUCUACGCACUACAUGAUAGGAAGUAAAUAAUAAAUAAAAUCUACUCACUGCUAAUCCAUUCAAACAUUUAAAAAUUGCAUUAUGAGCUUCGAGGUGACUGUUCAUCUUACAAUAAAAUCGCUUUUAAAUAUUAGAAAUAUUGUGUUUAGACCUGGAUACAAACUUUCUAAAUGCCUCAAAAUAGUGUUACAUGCCUAUAUAAGUAACUCCCAAUAGUUUAUUUUCGGUUAGUACCGGUUGCAGCACAUCACUAUUUAUAAGACGUCAAAAACCAGCAACACAUGAAAUGUCAUUUUAGUCUACGGGAUAAAAAAAUAGACUAUAUGUUGUUAUUAUAUUACGUUACGCAAAGAAUGUUGAAUUUCUUUCUCUACGUACUAAUUUAUAACUCAUCUAGAAUCUUCUUUAAAUCAUAUUAAUUGCCUUCUUAAACCAAAUAUAUCUAAUAAAAUAAAUAAAUUUUGCUUGUUUCUUCCUUAUAGCAUGAUUUAAGUUACCAAGACUAUGUAACAGCAGUUAUGUAAUAUAAAUAGGUGUAAUAUAAUAUAGUCUUCGUACUCGGUCAUUCGCGGAUGGUCUAGAACGCAAAAUGACUACUGUAAUAUUUUGUCUAUAUCGCUAUUAGUCUACAUCGCAAACGGUCUGGAACGCAAAAUGACCACAACAUUUUAUAUAGGUAGGUUAGGUUCGUUAGGUAUAUUCAAAUGGCCGAAGGCCAAACAGUACAGAAUAGGAGCCCCGCGGAAGCGGGGCUCCGUCGACAUCGCUAUAAAGUUAAGAUAAAACGGGAAAAAUUAUGUGGGCAUUUUGCGUUCUAGUCCGUUAGAGCGGUAGACUAUAACCGAUGUAGGUAAAAUAUUACACUAGUCAUUUUGCGUUCUAGACCGUCCGCGAAUAACCCUUCCUACUUAACUUUAAUUAUUAGCUGUCUUGGUUUAUGAUUGCCUAAGUUUGUAAAUAGUGUUAUUUGGAAUAAAAUUCCACGUUUAAUACACCAUAAGAAGUGAAAAUUCCUUAGAUUUGAUGUUAGUACUUAAUUGUCGUAGGUAUAAAACUAAACAUAUAUUAUAUAAGCGUAGAUAGUUCCGAAAAUGUACAGAUAGCACAUAGUCUUAGGGUUUUUUGUCUUUAGGGUUCCGUACACUAAGGAAGUUUGUUUAUCGUAUUUCUAGAGUAUUUCUUUUAUAUUAUGUCGUAGUACUAUUUAGAUUGAGGAUAUGAUAAAAGGGAUCUCUUCAUUACCUUCCGAGACCCAGAAGCAGAUGUUUUGUUUUUGAAUUCGGAACACUUAGUUACUCUAAAGUUCAACAUAGAUCGUGGAAUACGUACAAUAAUUUGCACGCGGGGUCUUAGGAGGUUACUCAAGUAUAACUCGUGUUUGGGAGUUUUCAGAAAAAAGUGUGUGUUACAAUUACUGAUCUGGUGUCUGAAAGUUUAAAAAACUUUUUAACAAAAAAUAUAACCGACUUCAAAUAUGACCCAAAGCGUCAUACAUGUACCUAUAACAUUUGAAGAGUUCCCUCGAUUUCUCCAAGAUCCCAUCAUCAGACCCCGACUUGGUGCCAACGGGACCAUCUCGGGGUUAUACCCGUUCGAUUAAAAAAAAAUUUGAAAAUCGGUUCAUGAUUCUCGGAGAUAUCGGGUAUAACAUACAUACAAAAUAAAACAGUCGAAUUGAGAACCUCCUCCUUUUUUGAAGUCGGUUAAAAAUUGCGAAAUUUCCACAACAAAAAUUUGGGAAAUCUGCAUACUUACGUAUGGGGAUUGAAAUUUUCCGUUACCGAAACGAGAGUAACCUUUGUAUUAUUACAUUUUAGUAAAUAUUCCCCAACUGGCACAUCUGUAGUUACUUUAAGUAUGUUGUAAUGAACGGGUUCAAGAGUGUAUUCAUCUUUGAGAAUUUAACAAUUGGGGACGCCUCGUCUCUAAUUUUCUGCACAAAACAGUCUGCCGAUUUUGCCGGGGGAGGGGCACGUCAGACCAUGCAAUACAUAUGACCAUUGGCCGAGAUUUUCAUCUUUGAGGAUUGAACAAUUGGGGACGCCUCGUCUCUAAUUUUCUGCACAAAACAGUCUGCCGAUUUUGCCGGGGGAGGGGCACGUCAGACCAUGCAAUACAUAUGACCAUUGGCCGAGAUUUUCAUCUUUGAGGAUUGAACAAUUAGGGACGCCUUGUCUCUAAUUUUCUGCACAAAACAGUCUGCCGAUUUUGCCGGGGGAGGGGCACGUCAGACCAUGCAAUACAUAUGACCAUUGGCCGAGAUUUGACAGAGGGGUAAGCUCUUAAAGGCGACUCCAGUUGUUAAAUCCAACAUGUGUAUAAGUGAGAUAUUAUUUGCGUGUGUAAAUGGAAGAUUGAACGCUAAUGUACAGUCAAAGAUUUAAUUUGAUACCCAUUUUGUACGUUGCCUCAGUGCCAGUAGUAUGAGGUCUCUUGCGACUUUCGUGUUGUUUGUCACAAGGUACGAAAUGGGUCGCAAAUUGAAUCUAUUGACUGUAUCAGUUAUAUAUAUAAUAUAUAUAUUUUUAAAAUAAUAAUUGUUAUUUAGAAAUCUAGGUUACGAAUAUAAAGGCAUGGUGUCUGUUCAAAAUAAUCAGUAAUUACAUCCAAUAUUAUUUCCUUUCGUGUUUAAAGUACAACAUUAACUUUUAACUAAAUUAUUUACUAAUUAUAAUGAUCUUUCUGUCUGGAUCCAUGCCUUUUUUAUCAUAUUAUAAUGUGUACUAUAAUCUUACAGUAAGUAUAUCUUUAGCUGUUGUAGGCUAGGUUUAACCGUAGGUAAGACAAGACGGGUUUUCUCUUUAUACCUUUUUUGUUAGUUUAGUUUUUUAUUGUCUCCCAAUAAAUCAUAAAGCAGAUGACCGUGGUGCGGUGCCGAAGUAUCUCUAAGUGUACCUAAUAAAGAGUUGUUUGUUUCCGUAGUAUUAGCCUCCGGUCCUUAAAUAAUGGUAAUAAAAGCACCUGAUUCACAUGCAAAUAAAUUUAGUUUAGCCAUACAAAAGGAGGAAUUGUAUUUAAGUACAUGUUAUACCUAGAUAUUUUUGUAGCACGAACGUUGACGUCUAAGUGUUUGACAAAAUAAAAACAUCGACAGUCCUGUUAUCGAUAAGUGCCACUUCAACGUGAUAGAGGUAAUACAAAGAAAAAUAUAGGGUAAUAGGUUGCGUUAAAAAUAGAUAAUAGUAACAAAACUAUAAAUUUAUUUAUAUUUUACAUACUUUAGAAAACAAAUUGAAACCCUUUUGUAACUUUCUUUCUUCGUGUAUCUGAAUUAAUUCUCCCAUAAGUCACUUCAUGAUAAACACACACCCAAAUUGUCUUUCAAAUUGACGCAAAAUGAUACAACAUGUAGUAUAUUAAACCCAUUUUUGAUCCCAUAGCAAAUCUGUGUCUGUGUCUCUGUAUAUGGCUACAGUGUAGGUGUAUCUUAGUUUUUUAUUAUUAACAGUAUCGCACUGAUGUAUUAAUGACCCUCUUUCUCUUUUACUUAAAUAUGUAUACUUCGUUGAAGUAGUAAGUAUGUAUUUAUCGAUAACAAGAUUGUCGAUAUUUUUAUUGUGGUAAGCACUAAGCAAAUUCUGUUCCUGCUAGAAAAAUAUCUAGGUAUAACAUGUAAGUACUUAUCAUAGCUACGUAUCAAAAGCAUAGGACAUACCUUUUAAUAUAAGAUAAAUCUCAAAUUGUGCUAGUUUUUGACAUAUAAGUAGUACAUCAGUGUACAACUGUACAGUCACCAUCGCAUAUAUCGGAGCAGCCGGGGUGCUCGAAAAUAUCUGACCACGGACUCUUGUCGAUCGUGUUUAGAUAUUUGUGAGCACCUUGGCCGGUCCAAUAUAUGUGACGGUGACUGUUCGAGAAAGUCACAACAACGAUCUUUAGUUUAAGCUACUUGACGAUGUUUAAGAUGCUAUUGAAAUCGUGCGAUUGUUAUAUCUUUUAAAAUCCUCAUCGAAAAGUAAACGAAUUUAAAUAGUUAUGUUUUGUCCAUUGUGUAACAGAAGUGGCGCAUAUUAUUACUUUGUUGCACAAAGGACUCCGUUCAAUUGUAGAGUAACUCGUAAAUCUGAAUGCAUAUUAAAACAUAUAUUUAUAACCGUGUCUACGCGACGCGACGUUUCAACGCAGGUUUCACUGGUCGUGGUCGCGUAAUAGGUGGGAUUCAAGGGGUGGUCGUAGUCGCGUAAUAGGUGGGAUUCGGGGGGUGGUCGUGGUCGCGCAAUAGGUGGGAUUCAAGGGGUGGUCGUGGUCGCGUAAUAGGUGGGAUUCGGGUGAUGGUCGUAAAAAUAUAGCUAACAAAAUUAAUUCGCUAAAGAAUCGGUUAUAAACAUGUUUCAAUAUGUGUUUAAAACGCGAAACUUUAAAAUGUUAUAAUCUCAAUUAAGUUUAUGUGCGGAGUAAAACCGUUCUUUUCGCACAAAAUGUUAUGUUGUUACAAUGUUAACUAGCGAGUACCUUAGGUUGGCCAAAGUUAAUAUAAUAUAUGUUACAUUUAAUUUAGAUACAAUUAUCCAGAGUAAUACAAUUAUUAUUUAGGUGGUUUCUCUGUCAAACGGGUCACGUUGGUUUAUUAUAGAAUGUUUUAGAUAGUUCGUUGUAAUUUUAGUAUUAGAAGGCAGACCACUAAAACGGUGUUUUUAUGUUGCCAUAUUAAAUAUUAAAAAAAAUGUGUAAAAAAAGGAUUAAAAAAUAAUAUGUGACAUGUAAUUGGAUAAUAUUGUUGAUUUGUCUUUUGUUCAGUUCAGUUUCAUAUGUUAAAUAAUAAUAUGUAUCUUUUAGAAUACAUUUAAGAUUGAUUUUAUUUUAUUUUCUGUAAAAUCUUUAUUUACAUGCCAUUUCGUAAUUAGGUUUUACAUUUAAAAUAGUACUUAAUGUAUUAGAUUAAGCUCUCUGUAAGGAAAAAUCAUUAUUUUGAUAAAAUUCAACUUUUUGAAACUUAAAAAAACUAUAUUCUCACACAAAUAGGAAUGUAGCGACCAAGCAUUCCAUCUGCACUCCGGUAGGAAUAACGAUAUUAGAUGUAUCUGUAAUUAUAAUUAUAAAUUUAACUGUCAUAUUUACAUCUUGAAGAGCGCAUGUAAGAUCUGAUAUUGCAUCGCCCCAGCAAUUUUAGAUCGAAUCACUCCGAGGACUCGACUGUGUUUCACACCCAUUCGCUACACAAAAGGUUUUUAUAUUGUGUAGCGAAUGGGUGUGAAACUUAACGUUCAUAUUCGGCUAAAUACACCCACAGUUUAUUUCCUUUGUGUAACGAAAUUUCGUGAUUCAAUUAUAUAUUAUUUAUUUAUUAUUAUCAAUACACAGUACAGAGCUUAUAAGUAAACUGGUCCCUGCAAAACUGUGUUUACAGUUUGCCUGCAGGCAGAAGUCUAUCGAAUGAAUCUACUUUACUAUGUAAAAUUUUGUUUUAAUGCAUACAAAUAUAAACGAUAUCAGGGCAAAAUGUGUACUCAUAUAUACUUAUAUUAUAUAUACUUAGGAAGUGAAUUAUAAAAAAAAAAACACGGGUUGCACUUUGGGAGUGCCGGCAGAAGUGAACAAUUGAAUAUUGACGUUGUGCAUUUUUGAUAUUUUGGAAUGGUUAGGGAAUAAUUUUGCACGAAUUCUUUUAAUUAUCAGUAUAAAAGUACUAUCAUUUAUGUGGUAAAAUACAAUAUUCAUUUAUUGCGGUCUACUGGCUUCAAUGAAAUUGUAACAGUUUUUCGAUCCGGUCACGUGUCCGUCUUACGAAUUUUCAAUCUGUCGAAUCUGUCGGUCACGUGACCUGUCGCGAGUUUAACAUUUUUUCCUCAAACCUAAAAGUGCACAGCGCCGCUAAAGAAGUUUUAACUUAAAAAAUAGAAAGAGCCCAUGUAGUCGAGUCCUUGAAGUGGUUGUGAAAGUAUUAUAAUGGUGAAUGAGUUUUGACGUCACAGAGAGAGAGUCAAAUGCAAUUUCAUAGAAUUUCAUAAGGUAAAAUUACAUUGUGUUGUGUAACGGGAUGUUUCAUCAAAUGUAAAAUGUACACAUUUUGUAUAAUACGUACGAGUAUUUAGUCUAUAUCACGUUUUACUGAAGAUUCAUUUAACACUGAUGUAUUUCAUUAAUGUGUCUACUUACAUAUGAUUACCUUAUUGAAAUUAAAUACUGUAGACCAGGACUACCUACUAGGGAUGAAAAUUUCGGAGAAAAUCAAUUUUUUUUCAGGAAGUUUAGCAAAUUUCGUUUUUUUCUUGUUUUAUUCAGAAAAAUUAAAUACGUCAUACACAAUAAUGCCCCUGAUGAGUGAUGACAGUGUCAAAUAUACAAAAUGCCAGAAACUAACCGUAACCAUCCUGUUAAAAUUUCCAAUUAAAUUCAUUUGGAAAAAUACAGAGAACUUUUAAAAAAACUUGUUUUUCUGGCUUUAUUCGUUUUUCCGGAAGUAUUGUAACUGAAAUUUGCAUUGUUUUUUUCGAAAGAAACUUGAAAAAAAACCGAGUCGUUUCAUCGAUCAUUAAUCAUUUUAUGGAAAAGAGAAUCUUCAGUGAUACGUGAUAAGGACUAAAUAAGUACUUAGUACAUAUUAACAACGAUUUUCAUUAUUACAUAAAUAAUUAACAAUUAUAUAUACAUCCCUGUUUAUCAAUAUUCAUGGUCACCCUACUAGUCACGUGUCUUAAUUGCAAUGUGAACAACGUAAUGUUAUGUCCAUAUUCAUUUUAACGUUUCCAGUGAGCAAAAUAGCUAUUUUUUGGACAUAAAAUUACGUUGUUCACAUUGCAAUUAAGACACGUGACUACUUAGAAUUAAAUAAUUUGAUUAAAUUUUCCAAUAGUCCGUGAAAGUUCUAUGUAACAAAUAGGGUAACCAUGAGGUUCAGUAAAUGUAAGAUAAAAUAUUAAUUAAUUAUAACAAAAUACCUUUACAGAUUUUUGAAUAUUCUUACGUAAAGCCCGACCAAUAUAUGAUCACGCGCCAUAUUGCGGAAUUUCAUUGGAACUAAAAUUUUCAUACUAAACUGAACUGUCAUCCUAUACAUGAGAAUAACAGCGCCCUCUUGGCAAUGAUCAUAUAUUUCUGGUCGGGCUUUACAAGUGUUUGUACUAAAUAUAAUUCAGAGUAAAACACAUAUUUCUGAUAACGACUUAUGAAUCACCCUAAUAUAACACUUAACAUACUUAACAUAGAAAACACCCAUGGCUCGGGAACAAAUAUCAUUGAUGUGCCAAAGUUAAAAGCAGCAUAUAUUUUGUCUCUCCUGUGGCGUGGGUUCGGGAUAAGGCUGUGAGCUGUAUAAUGUGUAAGAUGGUAUUAUACGUCGGGUUUUAUUAUACAAAA
Cydia pomonella (codling moth) is the source of this 10972-nucleotide long non-coding RNA. RefSeq lists it as uncharacterized. The transcript has 2 exons. The record is from RefSeq and is a predicted model, not a curated record. NCBI's taxonomy places the organism in Eukaryota, Metazoa, Arthropoda, Insecta, Lepidoptera, Tortricidae.